RNAcentral lists this ribosomal RNA (587 nucleotides) under uncultured bacterium. Its description in RNAcentral is "partial 16S ribosomal RNA". It matches the Rfam family "Bacterial small subunit ribosomal RNA", at positions 355 to 1375 of the family's 1533-position model. The record is from RNAcentral.
UGGGGAAUUUUGGACAAUGGGCGAAAGCCUGAUCCAGCAAUGCCGCGUGUGUGAAGAAGGCCUUCGGGUUGUAAAGCACUUUUGUCCGGAAAGAAAUCCUUGGCUCUAAUACAGUCGGGGGAUGACGGUACCGGAAGAAUAAGCACCGGCUAACUACGUGCCAGCAGCCGCGGUAAUACGUAGGGUGCAAGCGUUAAUCGGAAUUACUGGGCGUAAAGCGUGCGCAGGCGGUUUGCUAAGACCGAUGUGAAAUCCCCGGGCUCAACCUGGGAACUGCAUUGGUGACUGGCAGGCUAGAGUAUGGCAGAGGGGGGUAGAAUUCCACGUGUAGCAGUGAAAUGCGUAGAGAUGUGGAGGAAUACCGAUGGCGAAGGCAGCCCCCUGGGCCAAAUACUGACGCUCAUGCACGAAAGCGUGGGGGAGCAAACAGGAUUAGAUACCCUAGUAGUCCACGCCCUAAACGAUGUCAACUAGUUGUUGGGGAUUCAUUUCCUUAGUAACGUAGCUAACGCGUGAAGUUGACCGCCUGGGGAGUACGGUCGCAAGAUUAAAACUCAAAUGAAUUGACGGGGUCAUAGCUGUUUCCU